Molecule: ribosomal RNA, 736 nt
Filed under: uncultured bacterium
Lineage: Bacteria
Description: bacterial SSU rRNA
Rfam family: Bacterial small subunit ribosomal RNA
Source: RNAcentral
AGAGUUUGAUCCUGGCUCAGGGUGAACGCUGGCGGCAGGCUUAACACAUGCAAGUCGAGCGCGUAGCAAUACGAGCGGCAGACGGGUGAGUAACGCGUGGGAAUCUACCCAACCCUACGGAAUAACCCAGGGAAACUUGGACUAAUACCGUAUACGCCCUUUGGGGGAAAGAUUUAUCGGGGAUGGAUGAGCCCGCGUUGGAUUAGCUAGUUGGUGGGGUAAAGGCCUACCAAGGCGACGAUCCAUAGCUGGUCUGAGAGGAUGAUCAGCCACAUUGGGACUGAGACACGGCCCAAACUCCUACGGGAGGCAGCAGUGGGGAAUCUUAGACAAUGGGGGAAACCCUGAUCUAGCCAUGCCGCGUGAUCGAUGAAGGCCUUAGGGUUGUAAAGUCUUUCACCGGAGAAGAUAAUGACGGUAUCCGGAGAAGAAGCCCCGGCUAACUUCGUGCCAGCAGCCGCGGUAAUACGAAGGGGGCUAGCGUUGUUCGGAAUUACUGGGCGUAAAGCGCACGUAGGCGGAUAUUUAAGUCAGGGGUGAAAUCCCAGAGCUCAACUCUGGAACUGCCUUUGAUACUGGGUAUCUAGAGUAUGGAAGAGGUGAGUGGAAUUCCGAGUGUAGAGGUGAAAUUCGUAGAUAUUCGGAGGAACACCAGUGGCAAAGGCGGCUCACUGGUCCAUUACUGACGCUGAGGUGCGAAAGCGUGGGGAGCAAACAGGAUUAGAUACCCUGGUAG